Molecule: ribosomal RNA, 362 nt
Filed under: bacterium 14(2013)
Lineage: Bacteria
Description: bacterial SSU rRNA
Rfam family: Bacterial small subunit ribosomal RNA
Source: RNAcentral
AAAAGUUCCCCAGCAAUUCUCGUGAUGAUGAGGCUUAGGAUUGUAAAUCCUUUCCCGGGGAAAAUAAUGUCUGUAGCCGGAGAAGAAGCCCCGGCUAACUUCGUGCCAGCAGCCGCGGUAAUACGAAGGGGGCUAGCGUUGCUCGGAAUUACUGGGCGUAAAGGGAGCGUAGGCGGACAUUUAAGUCAGAGGUGAAAUCCCGGAGCUUUCUUCCGAACUGCCUUUGAUACUGGGUGUCUUGAGUGUGAGAGAGGUAUGUGGAACUCCCACUGUAUAGGUGAAAUUCGUAGAUAUUCGGAAGAACACCCCUGGCCAAGGCGACAUACUGGCUCAUUACUGACGCUGAGGCUCUAAAACGUGGG